AACGAACGCUGGCGGCAUGCCUAACACAUGCAAGUCGAACGAAGCCUUCGGGCUUAGUGGCGCACGGGUGCGUAACGCGUGGGAAUCUGCCCUUAGGUACGGAAUAACUCAUGGAAACGUGUGCUAAUACCGUAUGAUGUCUUCGGACCAAAGAUUUAUCGCCUAGGGAUGAGCCCGCGUUGGAUUAGCUAGUUGGUGAGGUAAAGGCUCACCAAGGCGACGAUCCAUAGCUGGUCUGAGAGGAUGAUCAGCCACACUGGGACUGAGACACGGCCCAGACUCCUACGGGAGGCAGCAGUGGGGAAUAUUGGACAAUGGGCGAAAGCCUGAUCCAGCAAUGCCGCGUGAGUGAUGAAGGCCUUAGGGUUGUAAAGCUCUUUUACCAGGGAUGAUAAUGACAGUACCUGGAGAAUAAGCUCCGGCUAACUCCGUG
This 433-nucleotide ribosomal RNA is filed under the name uncultured bacterium. RNAcentral's name for it is "bacterial SSU rRNA". It matches the Rfam family "Bacterial small subunit ribosomal RNA", at positions 29 to 507 of the family's 1533-position model. The record is from RNAcentral.